Molecule: long non-coding RNA, 1201 nt
Organism: Sinocyclocheilus anshuiensis
Lineage: Eukaryota; Metazoa; Chordata; Actinopteri; Cypriniformes; Cyprinidae
Source: Ensembl
UCACACACACACACUCUUACUCACACACACUCACACACACACACUCUUACUCACACACACUCACACACACACACUCACACUCACACACACACACACACACACACACACACACACACACGCGCGCUCCCUAUGUAGACAGCAUCCGAAGCGCCCUAGAGUUGACACACCUCCACGAACAGCAGAGAUCACAGCAGGAGUGUUGAGAGUCAAUAUCAGAGAUCACAGUCAUCUCCACACAUCACAAUCAUCUUCAUCUUCAUCAAUCAGCUGAAGAGAACGAAUAAAGCUGCUGCUAGCAUUAGCAUCAGAGCACUCAGAGCUCAGCUCGGUCAGGCGCUCAUUUAGAGCGCUAAAGUGCAGCAAUAAAGAGUUUAUUCAUCGUUUACCUGUGCUGUCUGGCUGAUUUCUGGCAGUUUGAAGCGCAACACGGCCGCGACUGACAGGAAAACAAACACAAAUCAGCGUGUGCGUCACUUCCGGGAAAUAAGCGCGUGGAGCAAAAUAAAAGCUCUGACGCGACUGAGCUUUAAAAAUACCUUUUAUUUUAAAAUUACACCUCAGGUGCAGAUAAUAUGUGUGUGUGUGCAUUAAAUAGUAUAAUAAUAAUAAUAAUAAUAAUAUUAACUAACAUUAUCAUGCGCAUUGAAUAAUAAUCAGAAUAUUAAGCCUUUGAAUCUUUGUUUGUUUUUAAAUUACCUUUUUAUUUGUACUCUUUAAGCCCUGAUGAAGCCGAAAUAACAAUUCAAAUAAUAACAUUAUUUAAACGAAAGCAUUGCUGUCUCUGUCUGUCUUCAGGUCUUAACAUGCAAAUGCAUCCGUUGAACUACACCUCCCACAAUGCACCGCGCCCGCCAGCCAGUGCGGGGUUAGAGGGCGCGUCGCCAUGGCAGCGGCUGGUUGUGACAUCAGCGCCAUUUUGCUUGAGUGUUGUGAUGGAAGCAGCGAGAAAAUCAGAAUCCGACGGAAAAACACCGAAAAUCAGACGCGAAUCAGACAAAUUCAGACCAGAGGGAGCCGAUUCGGCGAAUCAGACGGAGUCGCGUCGAGAAUCUGGACUGAAGUCGCUCGGAGGCGGAGCGAUCUGCGAUAACAGACGCCGGACUAGUGAAGAAAAGGCGUAAAGAGGUCUGUCGCCGCAUCAUGUGACGCUUCCCGUCCCUCAUCACCAUGAUCGAUUCCCGUGCGUCCCUGCCUCCGUCUG